Molecule: ribosomal RNA, 1316 nt
Filed under: Mycobacterium sp. DWMJ-569B2
Lineage: Bacteria; Bacillati; Actinomycetota; Actinomycetes; Mycobacteriales; Mycobacteriaceae
Description: bacterial SSU rRNA
Rfam family: Bacterial small subunit ribosomal RNA
Source: RNAcentral
UUCGGAGGUACUCGAGUGGCGAACGGGUGAGUAACACGUGGGCAAUCUGCCCUGCACUUCGGGAUAAGCCUGGGAAACUGGGUCUAAUAANCCGGAUAGGACCUCAAGACGCAUGUGCACUUCUGGUGGAAAGCUUUUGCGGUGUGGGAUGGGCCCGCGGCCUAUCAGCUUGUUGGUGGGGUGACGGCCUACCAAGGCGACGACGGGUAGCCGGCCUGAGAGGGUGUCCGGCCACACUGGGACUGAGAUACGGCCCAGACUCCUACGGGAGGCAGCAGUGGGGAAUAUUGCACAAUGGGCGCAAGCCUGAUGCAGCGACGCCGCGUGGGGGAUGACGGCCUUCGGGUUGUAAACCUCUUUCACCAUCGACGAAGGUCCGGGUUUUCUCGGAUUGACGGUAGGUGGAGAAGAAGCACCGGCCAACUACGUGCCAGCAGCCGCGGUAAUACGUAGGGUGCGAGCGUUGUCCGGAAUUACUGGGCGUAAAGAGCUCGUAGGUGGUUUGUCGCGUUGUUCGUGAAAUCUCACGGCUUAACUGUGAGCGUGCGGGCGAUACGGGCAGACUAGAGUACUGCAGGGGAGACUGGAAUUCCUGGUGUAGCGGUGGAAUGCGCAGAUAUCAGGAGGAACACCGGUGGCGAAGGCGGGUCUCUGGGCAGUAACUGACGCUGAGGAGCGAAAGCGUGGGGAGCGAACAGGAUUAGAUACCCUGGUAGUCCACGCCGUAAACGGUGGGUACUAGGUGUGGGUUUCCUUCCUUGGGAUCCGUGCCGUAGCUAACGCAUUAAGUACCCCGCCUGGGGAGUACGGCCGCAAGGCUAAAACUCAAAGGAAUUGACGGGGGCCCGCACAAGCGGCGGAGCAUGUGGAUUAAUUCGAUGCAACGCGAAGAACCUUACCUGGGUUUGACAUGCACAGGACGCGUCUAGAGAUAGGCGUUCCCUUGUGGCCUGUGUGCAGGUGGUGCAUGGCUGUCGUCAGCUCGUGUCGUGAGAUGUUGGGUUAAGUCCCGCAACGAGCGCAACCCUUGUCUCAUGUUGCCAGCGGGUAAUGCCGGGGACUCGUGAGAGACUGCCGGGGUCAACUCGGAGGAAGGUGGGGAUGACGUCAAGUCAUCAUGCCCCUUAUGUCCAGGGCUUCACACAUGCUACAAUGGCCGGUACAAAGGGCUGCGAUGCCGUAAGGUUAAGCGAAUCCUUUUAAAGCCGGUCUCAGUUCGGAUUGGGGUCUGCAACUCGACCCCAUGAAGUCGGAGUCGCUAGUAAUCGCAGAUCAGCAACGCUGCGGUGAAUACGUUCCCGGGCCUUGUACACACC